CCUGUCUCUCUGGCUCAGAGGAAAACAGACUGAUUUAGACUCCUGAGGUUGGAGGUUCAACCCCUUCUCCAGGUCCUGCUGAAUUUUAAAGUCCAGUGGCUAGAGUGGAGAGGAGAGUCAAAACCUGUCACCGACACACCAUGCCUGUGUGUCCACAUGGCUCACAGGAUGAGAAGACUGACUGGGACUCCUGAGCUUGUGGGUUUGAGCCUCAUGAGGGUCAAGCUGAAUUUUAAAAUCAAGUGUCUACAAAGAACAGUGAAAGAAGAAACAAACAGGAUCUUCCUUUGUGUCUAUGAGGCUCAGAGGAUAAGGAGACCGACUGGGACUCUUGAGCUUGUGGGUUUGAACCUCACCUCACCCAACUCUCUGAGAAUUUUAAAGUCUAGUGUCUAAAAAGGGACGGUUAAAUAGAAGAAAACCAGAAAACUCCUCUGUGUCCACAUGGCUCACAGGGUAAGGAGACCGACUGGGACUCCUGAGGUCGUGGGUUCCAACCCUACCUUACCCAAGUCAAAGACAAUUUAAAAGUUUAUUGUCUAAAAAGGGACGGUUAAAUAGAAGAAAACCAGAUAACACCUGUGUGUUCACAUGGCUCACAGGGUAAGAAGACUGACUGGGACUCCUGAGGUUGCGGGUUCGAACCUCACCUCACCCAACUCUCUGAGAAUUUUAAAGUCUAGUGUCUAAAAAGGGACAGUUAAAUAGAAGAAAACCAGAAAACUCCUGUGUGUCCACAUGGCUCAGAGGAUAAGCAGACUGACUGGCACUCCUGAGGUUGCGGGUUCGAACCUUAUCCCAGACCAAUUUUGAAGUCUAGCAGCCAAAGUACCAAGAUAAAAGGGCGCAACGCUCAUCCCCAAGUGCGGACGGUAUCCGGUGGCGCUGGGGGUAUGCAACUGACACCCAAAUACCAAAUGCUGGUCAGGCGGGCAGCCCUAGUUCGAUACCCACUCGACACGCAGGAGAUCCUGAAGCAAAUCCUGGGGAACCAGGCCCGGGGGGAGGUUUCCCCCCGGUGUUUCCGGAAAGGUAAAACAGGGGGGUUAUGAGGCAGGAAGUCAGAAGCCGCUGAAAUUUUGGAGAAACACAACCAACUCAAACAAGAAAGAUGACACAGUUAAAACAAGAACAGUGAGUAAAGAUGACAUCUAUAAGACACGAGACUAAUACAGAUGUAGAAAAAAGCCGACUAUAUUAUAGUCAUCUAUAUUAGAAUAAAGAUGGAUAUAAUAGUCAUCUACUAUUAUAGUGAUCUAUAUAUAGAUGACUAUAGUCAUCUACUAUAUAUAGAUGACUAUAAUAAAGUCAUCUUUAUUCUAAUAUAGUCAUAUAAUAUAGUCAUCUAUGUUAGAAUAAAGAUGACUUUAUUAUAGUCAUCUAUAUAUAGUAUUAUUAUAAUAAUAGUCAUCUAGUCUAUCUAUGACUAUUAUAGUGAUGACUAUAUUAUAGUCAUCACUAUAAUAGUAGAUGACUAUAAUAUAGUAUAUUGUAGUCUAAUCUUUAUUCUAAUAGAGAUGACUAUAAUAUAGUCGUCUAGUCUAUCUAUGACUAUAAUAGUCAUCUAUAUUAGAAUAAAGAUGACUUUAUUAUAGUCAUCUAUAAUGACUAUAUUAUAGUUGACUUUAGUCAUCUUUAAAUAAUAGUAUUAUAGAUGACUAUAAUAUAGUGACUUUAUUCUUCUAAUAGAGAUGACGAAAGUCAUCUAUGUCUGUCUUUCUUGGUUAGUUUCUCCAAAAUUUCAGCGGCUUCUGACUUCCUGCCUCAUAACCCCCCUGUUUUACCUCUCCGGAAACACCGGGGGGAAACCUCCCCCCGGGCCUGGUUCCCCAGGAUUUGCUUCAGGAUCUCCUGUGUGUCGAGUGGGUAUCGAACUAGGGCUGCCCGCCUGACCAGCAUUUGGUAUUUGGGUGUCAGUUGCAUACCCCCAGCGCCACCGGAUACCGUCCGCACUUGGGUAUGAGCGUUGCGCCCUUUUAUCUUGGUACUUUGGCUGCUAGACUUCAAAAUUGGUCUGGGAUAAGGUUCGAACCCGCAACCUCAGGAGUGCCAGUCAGUCUCCUUAUCCUCUGAGCCAUGUGGACACACAGGAGUUUUCUGGUUUUCUUCUAUUUAACUGUCCCUUUUUAGACACUAGACUUUAAAAUUCUCAGAGAGUUGGGUGAGGUGAGAACCCGCAACCUCAGGAGUCCCAGUCAGUCUCCUUACCCUGUGAGCCAUGUGAACACACAGGUGUUUUCUGGUUUUCUUCUAUUUAACCGUCCCUUUUUAGACACUAGACUUUAAAAUUCUCAGAGAGUUGGAUAAGGUAGGGUUCGAAACCACAACCUCAGGAGUCCCAGUCAGUCUCCUUACCCUGUGAGCCAUGUGGACACAAAGGUGUUUGCUGGUUUUGUCCCUUUCAACUGUUCUUUUUAGACACUAGACUUUAAAAUUCUCCUAGACUUGGGCAAGGUAGGGUUUGAACCCACCACCUUAGGAGUCCCAGUCGGUCUCCUUACCCUGUGAGCCAUGUGGACACACAGGAGUUUUCUGGUUUUCUCCUAUUCAACUCCUAUUCCUACUCAACCCUUACGAGGCUCAAACCCACAAGCUCAGGAGUCCCAGUCAGUCUUCUCAUCCUGUGAGCCAUGUGGACACACAGGCAUGGUGUGUCGGUGACAGGUUUUGACUCUCCUCUCCACUCUAGCCACUGGACUUUAAAAUUCAGCAGGACCUGGAUAAGGGUUUGAACCUCCAACCUCAGGAGUCUAAAUCCAUCUUUUUCCCUCUGAGCCAGAGAGACAGGCA
This 2790-nucleotide long non-coding RNA is filed under the name Xyrichtys novacula (pearly razorfish). Lineage: Eukaryota; Metazoa; Chordata; Actinopteri; Labriformes; Labridae. The record is from RNAcentral.